AAUGGCAAGGAGGUCACACCUGUUCCCAUGCCGAACACAGAAGUUAAGCUCCUUAGCGCCGAUGGUAGUCGGGCUUACGUCCCGCUAGAGUAGGACGUUGCCAGGC
This 106-nucleotide ribosomal RNA is filed under the name Staphylococcus capitis. Lineage: Bacteria; Bacillati; Bacillota; Bacilli; Caryophanales; Staphylococcaceae. The record is from RNAcentral.